AUGCAUGGCAACUUAGAGAUAAAUUAUAUAUAUAUAUAUACACACACACACACACACACACACAGACGCGUGCGCACACACACAGAUGCACACACACACAGACACACACACAGACGCACACACAGACGCGCACACACACAGACGUGCACACACACACAGACACAGACGCACACACACACAGACGCACACACACAGACGCACACACAGACUCACACACAGACACACACAGACGCACACACACACAGACACACACACACAAAGACGCACACACAGACGUGCACACACACACAGACGCGCACACACACAGACGCGCACACACACAGACGCACACACAGACUCACACACAGACACACACAGACGCACACACACACAGACACACACACACAAAGACGCACACACAGACGUGCACACACACAGAUGCACACACACAGACGUGCACACACACACAGACGCACACACAGACUCACACACAGACACACACAGACGCACACACACACAGACACACACAAAAAGACGCACACACAGACGUGCACACACGCACAGACGCACACACACACAGACGCACACACAGACUCACAGACACACACAGACGCACACACACACAAACACACACACACAAAGACGCACACACAGACGCGCACACACAUAGACGUGCACACACACAGACGCACACACACACAGACGCACACACACACAGACGCACACACAGACUCACACACAGACACACACAGAUGCACACACACACAGACGCACACACAGACUCACACACAGACACACACAGACGCACACACACACAGACACACACACACAAAGACGCACACACAGACGUGCACACACACACAGACGCACACACACACAGACGUGCACACACACAGACGCACACACACACAGACGCACACACACACAGACGCACACACAGACUCACACACAGACACACACAGACGCACACACACAGACUCACAGACACACACAGACGCACACACACACACACAAAGACGCACACACAGACACGCACACACACAGACGUGCACACACACACAGACGCACACACAGACUCACAGACACACACAGACGCACACACACAGACGCACACACGCGCGCACACACAGACGCACACACACAGAUGCACACACACAGAUGCACACACACAGACGCACACACACAGACACAGAUGCACACACAGACGCACACACAGACACAGAUGCACACACACAGACACACACACAGACACACAGAUGCACACACAGACGCACACACACAGAUGCACACACACAGACGCACACACACACAUGCUUUGUGAAUCACUCUGUUGCAGAGUUACACACACACACAAAUAGAUAA
RNAcentral lists this long non-coding RNA (1341 nucleotides) under Callithrix jacchus (white-tufted-ear marmoset). RNAcentral describes it as "lncRNA (ENSCJAG00000074722.1)". Lineage: Eukaryota; Metazoa; Chordata; Mammalia; Primates; Cebidae. The record is from RNAcentral.